CCUACGGGUGGCAGCAGUGGGGAAUAUUGCACAAGGGGGGAAACCCUGAUGCAGCAACGCCGCGGGAAGGAAGACGGUGGUCGGAUGGUAAACUUCGGUGAGUAGUGAAGAAGAAUGACGGUAGCGAAGGAGCAAGCCACGGCUAACUACGUGCCAGCAGCCGCGGGAAUAAGUAGGUGGCAAGCGUUGUCCGGAAUGACUGGGUGUAAAGGGAGCGCAGGCGGGAAGCCAGGUCAGCUGUGAAAACUACGGGCUUAACUUGUAGACGGCAGUUGCAACUGGUUUUCUUGAGUGAAGUAGGGGUUGGCGGAAUUCCGCGUGUAGCGGUGAAAUGCGUCGCUAUUCG
RNAcentral lists this ribosomal RNA (346 nucleotides) under uncultured bacterium. RNAcentral's name for it is "partial 16S ribosomal RNA". It matches the Rfam family "Bacterial small subunit ribosomal RNA", at positions 338 to 700 of the family's 1533-position model. The record is from RNAcentral.